UCUUAUGAAGUUAGCGGCGGACGGGUGAGUAACACGUGGGUAACCUGCCCAUAAGACUGGGAUAACUCCGGGAAACCGGGGCUAAUACCGGAUAACAUUUUGAACCGCAUGGUUCGAAAUUGAAAGGCGGCUUCGGCUGUCACUUAUGGAUGGACCCGCGUCGCAUUAGCUAGUUGGUGAGGUAACGGCUCACCAAGGCAACGAUGCGUAGCCGACCUGAGAGGGUGAUCGGCCACACUGGGACUGAGACACGGCCCAGACUCCUACGGGAGGCAGCAGUAGGGAAUCUUCCGCAAUGGACGAAAGUCUGACGGACCAACGCCGCGUGAGUGAUGAAGGCUUUCGGGUCGUAAAACUCUGUUGUUAGGGAAGAACAAGUGCUAGUUGAAUAAGCUGGCACCUUGACGGUACCUAACCAGAAAGCCACGGCUAACUACGUGCCAGCAGCCGCGGUAAUACGUAGGUGGCAAGCGUUAUCCGGAAUUAUUGGGCGUAAAGCGCGCGCA
RNAcentral lists this ribosomal RNA (506 nucleotides) under Bacillus sp. (in: firmicutes). Its description in RNAcentral is "bacterial SSU rRNA". It matches the Rfam family "Bacterial small subunit ribosomal RNA", at positions 82 to 573 of the family's 1533-position model. The record is from RNAcentral. Lineage: Bacteria; Bacillati; Bacillota; Bacilli; Caryophanales; Bacillaceae.